Non-coding RNA from Sturnus vulgaris (Common starling), 3154 nucleotides. Lineage: Eukaryota; Metazoa; Chordata; Aves; Passeriformes; Sturnidae. The record is from RefSeq and is a predicted model, not a curated record.
AGUGCUUGCUUUGUCAAUCCUGUUUUGCUGGCUCAAAAUGACUUACAAGAUUAAUUUUCAAUUUUUAACAUAAAACCCAAGAAAAAGAAGUGGUUACUUACUGCAAGGAGUUGAUUCCAUGUUAAUGACCCUGAAGGAGGCUUGUACACAAGGUACAGAUUGUUGCCAAUUUGAUGUAUAUUCAUUUUACAGAAUAUGCAAAUGAGAAGUUAUACCAUCUUGAGGAUUUUGUUUUUAUAAGUUAAAAAAGCUUUUAAGUAAUCAUACUGUGUGUUUGAUGGUGGAAAUUAGUAUGAAUGUUUCUGGCAGUGGAAUGAUGUGAUGUGGUUAUGCAUUUCUGUUUUCACUGCCUGCUCAACAUUGGCCUUUUACAAAUACAGAUUACCAUGUCGAUGGAAGGAAUUUACAGCUUUGGCCCCCUUGUCUCACUCUGUGUUACAGCACCCUUUUUCGUACUUUAUGUUACAUAUCCUCCCAACUGCAUUUUUGUGACAGGAAUAAGAAAUGUCUGAGGACUGAGAUCCUGAAAAUGUGAGAACUUUACUAUAUAAUUGAGUGAAAUGAGUAUUAUUUCUCUCUUACCUUGAUUUCCUGUGGGGUGAAAUCUUGCCCCUCUGAAGCUAGUAGCAAACACUGCUGUGUAUGACAGGAUGGAGAGUCCAUCAGUGAUCCUUUACCGGCUAGUGACAUUGCAUACUGGAAGCUCAGAAAAAAACAACCCUUAAUAAUAAUAUUGAUAGAAAGAACACUCUUUAAAAAGUCAAAAUUUAGGACUGUGAAUAAAAGCCAAGCUGAAUACGAAAACUGUAUGUAUGAUGUAUUUAACAUUGUUAGUUUUGGGGCCUUACAAGCCAGAUAGAACUGCAAGCUCCGUUUGUGUUCUGUAGGCUGUUACACUGCAUCUCUUACUUACCUCAUCUUGUGGGCAAGGAGCUGCUUGCUCUGACUUCAUGGAAGUGCAGCUGUAUUUGUGGAGUGCUCUUGUCCUUUGGCACUGCCUCCCCUUAAUACAGUUUAGAUACACCAGCGUUUUCUCUGGAAGCAAACUUCAAAAUUUGUCUUUAAUCCUGAUGCAAUGCAUAUUCAGAGUUUUUUACUUUCCUGGAGUUUAGUUCCAGAGGAAAACAUACUUGACUGGUGCUCCCACCAGCCAGCUGUGGUUUAUAAUGACAAUGAUUAACAGCAAGAUACUGCAGCAGAAAAAUGGGGAGCAGAGAAAUGCAGUCCAGCAACUUCAGAGAUAUGAUUUUGUUCACUUCCAAGGAUUCCUAAGUGCUUUAGAAACAAUAUUACAGGCAGAAUGGGUAGCUGUGGCCAUUGUGAAGGUCUUCUAGUGCUUCCUGUUUCAAUAUUCUGUGGUGGGUUGUUUUUUUUUUUUUUAAUUUUUCCAGAGCUCUGCCAAUGUGAAUGUAUUUAGGCUAAAUUUAUUUUUAUCCAAUGCCAGUCUCCAGUUUUUUAAGUUUUUGAAUUGAAAAGUUGUUGAAUUAUUUAUAAGAAUAAGGCUAGAUUUUUGCUUUUUUAGAAAAAUAAUAUCUGCCCCCUAUAUUUUUGAGCAAAGACAGGCCUUUCUCUGCCUUUGAAUCGGGUAUGUGCCUUUUGCCAUCCUCAUAAAGCCUUUCAAGUUUGGUCGACUGUUUCAAGACAUGGAAAAAAACACAGUUACCAAAUAUCCCAUGGAGGUUUACUAAAGCCUAACAGCAAAUAUUUCCAGAGAUUUCAUCUCCUCCACCUCUCCCAGCUCCUUCCCAUGAUCAGACUUUCCAUACAGGAUGACUGAACAGUCACUAGCUGGGGGCACUAGAGGCCAAAACGGAGCCAACCCCUGCACUGCUGUCCCUGGGCGUUACUUGGAAGCGCAGCCACGCUUUGCAGUGGAACCAGGAGUAGGGAGCCAGUCUCUUCUGAGCUGGAAUGCAUCUUAGGGCUCCCAAAUUGUAGUUUGUAUGCUGCUGGCAAACCUCCAGCAUAGUUGCUUUUUGCCACUAGCCUGAACACACAUAGAGAGUUGGACAACCUCAACAAGACCCUGAGCAACCACAUCUAAUAAUGAGAUGAGUCCUGCUUUGAGCAGGGGGUGGGAGUGGACAACAUCCUCAGGGUCCUUCCCAGCUUGAGUGAGUCUGUGGUUUGUGAUUCUUUACUGACCAUUUCUCCAUGAGUGUGUGUAGGCCUACAGGCAGCAUCCUGGUUGGUGGGUUUUGGUAGGUAUGAUGCACAUAGUGGAAAUAGUAUUUAGUAUUUAUUACUUUAUUACUUUAUUUUUAAACACAAACACCUCAUUAAGAUAAUAUUCAAGAUGCAUGGAGAGGUAUCCUAAAAUUAAGAUUAAAAAAAUGUUGUCUGCAACCUCAGUACACUUCUAACAUGCAUUUGUGUGUAAACAUUGACUCUAGUUUUGUGAUUGCACUGUGUUUUCACUCAUAUGGCUUCAUCUCUGUUUCUAGCAUGGAUCUGCUCUGGAGAUGAAGCAGCACUGAGAAGGAUUGAUGGAUGCAGAACUCUAGCCCACUUCUUGAGAAGAUGUAUUUGCAAAGUACAAUGCAGUUUGUUCUUAAGUUAAACAAUUCAGUGUUUAGACCUAAUCCUGAACCAUGUUGAUACUUUAGGUUAUGUUUUCCUUCUCGAAAAAUCGCAGACUGCUCAUUUUCUCCAGGGUUCAUGGAGGUGGCAAGUGUUCAUCUGGGUAUUAGCUGCAACCUCCUUUAAUAUGCAGAGACUGGUUUUGAUGUCUCAUGAUCACAGUGGGAAAGUUGUGACAGAGUUGUAAAGAACCAAGACUUUGCUGGUUCAUUGCUGAGAGCUCCUGGUCUAUCAAGUCUAGUCUUUGGCUGCUAAAACCAAACUUACUGUGAAAUCCAUGCAGGAGCUGCCUUCACCACCCUAUAUGGUAUUGGAAGUUUGAUCCAAUCCAUCACAGCUCUGAUGACCGAUGGAUUCCCAAGGCAUGGCUGCAAUCGUUGUUUGAAACAAGAAACAGAUACCCUGUUGGUGUCAUUCAUCUCUGAUCACUGGGAAUGGGAGCUUGAAUGAAGGACUCAUUUUUAGUAACAAACUCCAGACUAUUAGCCCUGCCAUUUUUCCACUGCUGGAGGAAAACGUGGACUCUUGCUGAGCUGUAUGGGUGUGUGUGCAGUCUCUGAGGAGCAGUGAGUGU